Molecule: long non-coding RNA, 99 nt
Organism: Rhagoletis zephyria (snowberry fruit fly)
Lineage: Eukaryota; Metazoa; Arthropoda; Insecta; Diptera; Tephritidae
Source: RefSeq, a predicted model, not a curated record
GUGCAUAUCCGAACUUGUCGACCUAAAUAUGUUCUAGAAAAACGAAUUCCGUUCUUGGCUUUUUCUGAAAAAGUUCUUUGAGAAGGUAUGGUUACGGUG